RNAcentral lists this long non-coding RNA (461 nucleotides) under Homo sapiens (human). Its description in RNAcentral is "HSALNT0406196". Lineage: Eukaryota; Metazoa; Chordata; Mammalia; Primates; Hominidae. The record is from RNAcentral.
GACACAGGGUGAGAAGAAGAGGGCUGCAAUUAGGGGCAGGAAGAGGAGGCGGUGACACACAUCACUUCGAGGGACUGGACCCAGUGAAUGGGAACCACUCCCAGGAGCUAAGGAUUCUUCUACAGCACCUUCCAUUUUGCAACAGGAGCUGGAACUGGGGCAGAAAGCUCUGUCAGAGAGACCUGGAGAUGCAGGAGUCAUCUCUGAACUCUGAGACCCUGAGCAGCAGGAAGAUGGUGAAUAAAUGCAAGCCCCAGCUAUACAAUUACAACCUAGCCUGAGAGGAGGAAGAGGCCAGGAGGUGCAACUUCAGGUCCCAGGCGCCUCGCAACCAGCUUGCUCAUCUCAGGGUCCGCGAGACUGGGAUUUACACAAGCAGCACAGCAGAGGCACUCACUGAACAAAGCCCAUAGGGGUCCCUGCCUGGUCCUCACCAUGCCCGAUAGCUUUGAUCUCCACUG